This 484-nucleotide ribosomal RNA is filed under the name uncultured bacterium. RNAcentral's name for it is "partial 16S ribosomal RNA". It matches the Rfam family "Bacterial small subunit ribosomal RNA", at positions 28 to 507 of the family's 1533-position model. The record is from RNAcentral.
GAUUAACGCUAGCGGCAGGCAUAAUACAUGCAAGUUGAACGGCAGCACAGGUAGCACUACUGGGUGGCGAGUGGCGCACGGGUGCGUAACACGUAUGCAACCUACCCUAUACAGGCGAAUAACCUUUAGAAAUGAGGGCUAAUACGCCGUAGUAUUACAGAUGGGCAUCUAUUUGUAAUUAAAGAUUUAUCUGUAUAGGAUGGGCAUGCGUCCCAUUAGUUAGUUGGUAAGGUAACGGCUUACCAAGACGAUGAUGGGUGGGGGAUCUGAGAGGACUUACCCCCACAAUGGUACUGAGAAACGGACCCGACUCCUACGGGAGGCAGCAGUAAGGAAUAGUGGGAAAGGGACGCGAGGCUGAACCAGCCAUGCCGCGUGCAGGAAGACGGCCUUAUGGGUUGUAAACUGCUUUUAUACGGGAAUAAUAGAGUGUACGCGUACAUUUAUGCAAGUAUCGUAUGAAUAAGCAUCGGCUAACUCCGUG